Molecule: ribosomal RNA, 930 nt
Filed under: uncultured organism
Description: bacterial SSU rRNA
Rfam family: Bacterial small subunit ribosomal RNA
Source: RNAcentral
CUAUUGGAUCCAGACUUUGAUUCUGGCUCAGGAUGAACGCUAGCUACAGGCUUAACACAUGCGAGUCGAGGGGAAACGACAUCGAAAGCUUGCUUUUGAUGGGCGUCGACCGGCGCACGGGUGAGUAACGCGUAUCCAACCUGCCCACCACUUGGGGAUAACCUUGCGAAAGUAAGACUAAUACCCAAUGAUAUCUCUAGAAGACAUCUGAAGGAGAUUAAAGAUUUAUCGGUGAUGGAUGGGGAUGCGUCUGAUUAGCUUGUUGGCGGGGUAACGGCCCACCAAGGCGACGAUCAGUAGGGGUUCUGAGAGGAAGGUCCCCCACAUUGGAACUGAGACACGGUCCAAACUCCUACGGGAGGCAGCAGUGAGGAAUAUUGGUCAAUGGGCGAGAGCCUGAACCAGCCAAGUAGCGUGCAGGAUGACGGCCCUAUGGGUUGUAAACUGCUUUUAUAAGGGAAUAAAGUGAGCCUCGUGAGGCUUUUUGCAUGUACCUUAUGAAUAAGGACCGGCUAAUUCCGUGCCAGCAGCCGCGGUAAUACGGAAGGUCCGGGCGUUAUCCGGAUUUAUUGGGUUUAAAGGGAGCGUAGGCCGGAGAUUAAGCGUGUUGUGAAAUGUAGAUGCUCAACAUUUGCACUGCAGCGCGAACUGGUUUCCUUGAGUACGCACAAAGUGGGCGGAAUUCGUGGUGUAGCGGUGGAAUGCUUAGAUAUCACGAAGAACUCCGAUUGCGAAGGCAGCUCACUGGAGCGCAACUGACGCUGAAGCUUGAAAGUGCGGGUAUCGAACAGGAUUAGAUACCCUGGUAGUCCGCACGGUAAACGAUGGAUGCCCGCUGUUGGUCUGAAUAGGUCAGCGGCCAAGCGAAAGCAUUAAGCAUCCCACCUGGGGAGUACGCCGGCAACGGUGCAACUCAAAUGAAUUGACGGA